UACGGAGGGAGCUAGCGUUGUUCGGAAUUACUGGGCGUAAAGCGCACGUAGGCGGCUUUGUAAGUUAAAGGUGAAAGCCCGGGGCUCAACUCCGGAACUGCCUUUAAGACUGCAUCGCUUGAAUCCAGGAGAGGUGAGUGGAAUUCCGAGUGUAGAGGUGAAAUUCGUAGAUAUUCGGAAGAACACCAGUGGCGAAGGCGGCUCACUGGACUGGUAUUGACGCUGAGGUGCGAAAGCGUGGGGAGCAAACAGG
This 253-nucleotide ribosomal RNA is filed under the name uncultured bacterium. RNAcentral's name for it is "partial 16S ribosomal RNA". It matches the Rfam family "Bacterial small subunit ribosomal RNA", at positions 524 to 776 of the family's 1533-position model. The record is from RNAcentral.